RNAcentral lists this unclassified non-coding RNA (1266 nucleotides) under Leishmania donovani. RNAcentral's name for it is "gene:LdHU3.36.4520(CDS-product:cyclophilin_10_put ative)". The record is from RNAcentral. Lineage: Eukaryota; Euglenozoa; Kinetoplastea; Trypanosomatida; Trypanosomatidae.
AGUGGACGACGGCAAUGUUUACGCGAUCUACAAUCAGAUGGGCGGCUGGGGCGGGGCACGCGUUCAUGGACAUCGCCAUUGGCAGCCAGCCCCCGCACCGUGUGACCUUCGAGCUUUUCACGAAGAAGUGCCCUAUUGCCUCGGAGAACUUUCUGAAGCUGUGCACAGGAGAAAAUGUGCUGCCGCAGGUCUCCAGCAUCGACGGGAUCGGUGAGCCAUCCUUCCGAGACCAGUUUCUGCCGCAGUUGACGUACCGCAACACGACGGUGCACCGCGUGUGCAAAGGCUAUCUCGUGCAAGGCGGCGAUAUCGUGUCUGGUCAAGGGACGGGUCAGCUUUCCAUCUACGGCGAAUUUUUUGAUGCGCCGGAAGAGGUAAAGGCGUCCAAGUUCGAUCGAAUGGGUCUCUUAGGCACCGCCGUAAGUGCGCCGCACUUGAAUGGGUCGCAGUUUUUUAUCCUGACGGCUGACAAGGCGCCGCACCUGAACGGCACGUGCAUUUGUUUCGGCCGCGUCGUGGACGGAUGGGCUGUGGUGAAGGCCAUUGAGGCCAUCCCGCUGACGGCCGCCGGCGAGCCAACGGAGCGGGUUGUAGUGGUCGAGUGCGGCAAGCUCUAAAAGAGAACACGAGGGGGCCGAAGAGAAAGAGUUACCCCCUCCCCCCUCACUGGAAGCGUACGCGCUGAAGAGUGUCACUGUUGUUGUUGCUGUUCUUGCUUCUAUUCUACUCACAAGGUUGGAAGGGCGCGUGUGGAACCAAGGCAAGGCAGCCUGUAGCGCCCCCCCCUCCGCUGGCGUCUGGGAGUAUGUGGCGGGGAGUUUGUGUGUGCGCGUGCGUUGGUUGUUGGAGUUCUUCUCCUUUUUGUGUGUUUGUUUGGCUCCUCUCCCUCUCCCUUCCAUCGUAUGGCUCACAGGCAUCUUUACGUACUCAGAAAUGGAAUGGACGUGCAGCGGGCGCGCGUCCCAGGCGAAGCGCACGCCCCAUCUAAAGGCGACAGCAGCAUCAGCACCAGUGGAAGACUACUCGCUCUUGUCAAGAGCAGUAAAGGGUGUGCGCACGCUUGGUGAAAGGUCACGCACUGCAUAUCACCAUCAGCGUCGUCUGCUGCUGCCGCAACUCCAGCUCAUGUCAUUUUCUUCCCUCAUGCCAUUGUAGUCCCUCCUCCCCCGCUAUCCUCCUCCCACUUUGACGUAUGCCUCGUUCUGCGCCACUUGGUCCCCUCCCUUCUCCGACCGCUCGCAUGCAACACAAUGCCAACGCCGACAG